CAGAAAGUAGUUUAAAAAUUAAAAAUAUGGGUUUUGGAAAUCCAAGAUGCUCUCACAGGUCUUUCUGA
RNAcentral lists this transfer RNA (68 nucleotides) under Catomerus polymerus. RNAcentral describes it as "tRNA-Pro". Lineage: Eukaryota; Metazoa; Arthropoda; Thecostraca; Balanomorpha; Catophragmidae. The record is from RNAcentral.